This is a ribosomal RNA of Astyanax mexicanus (Mexican tetra), 124 nucleotides long. The record is from Ensembl. Lineage: Eukaryota; Metazoa; Chordata; Actinopteri; Characiformes; Acestrorhamphidae.
GCUUACGGUCACACAUACCCCUGAGAAUGCCAUAUCUCGUCUGAUCUGCGGAAGCUAAGCAUGGGUUUUGGCCUGGUAAGUACUUGGUGGGAGACCACCUGGGAAUACCAGGUGCUGGUAAGGC